GGUUGACCUCGGAUCAGGUAGGGAUACCCGCUGAACUUAAGCAUAUCAUAG
Molecule: ribosomal RNA, 51 nt
Filed under: Phyllosticta sp.
Lineage: Eukaryota; Fungi; Ascomycota; Dothideomycetes; Botryosphaeriales; Phyllostictaceae
Description: partial 28S ribosomal RNA
Source: RNAcentral